This 522-nucleotide ribosomal RNA is filed under the name uncultured bacterium. RNAcentral's name for it is "bacterial SSU rRNA". It matches the Rfam family "Bacterial small subunit ribosomal RNA", at positions 8 to 518 of the family's 1533-position model. The record is from RNAcentral.
AGAGUUUGAUCCUGGCUCAGGAUGAACGCUAGCUACAGGCUUAACACAUGCAAGUCGAGGGGCAGCAUGUUGGUUGCUUGCAACCAAUGAUGGCGACCGGCGCACGGGUGAGUAACGCGUAUCCAACCUUCCCCCUAGUAGGGGAUAGCCCGGCGAAAGUCGGAUUAAUACCCUAUGUUGUUCAUUGAAGGCAUCUGAUUUGAACCAAAGGUUUUCCGCUAAGGGAUGGGGAUGCGUCUGAUUAGGUUGUUGGCGGGGUAACGGCCCACCAAGCCAUCGAUCAGUAGGGGUUCUGAGAGGAAGGUCCCCCACAUUGGAACUGAGACACGGUCCAAACUCCUACGGGAGGCAGCAGUGAGGAAUAUUGGUCAAUGGACGGAAGUCUGAACCAGCCAAGUAGCGUGCAAGGAUGACGGCCCUAUGGGUUGUAAACUGCCUUUGUCAGGGAAUAAAGUGAGGCACGUGUGCCUUUUUGUAUGUACCUGAAGAAUAAGGACCGGCUAAUUCCGUGCCAGCCGCAGC